Molecule: ribosomal RNA, 493 nt
Filed under: uncultured bacterium
Lineage: Bacteria
Description: partial 16S ribosomal RNA
Rfam family: Bacterial small subunit ribosomal RNA
Source: RNAcentral
AUUGAACGCUGGCGGCAUGCUUUACACAUGCAAGUCGAACGGUAACAGGUUAAGCUGACGAGUGGCGAACGGGUGAGUAAUGCAUCGGAACGUGCCCGGUCGUGGGGGAUAACGCAGCGAAAGCUGCGCUAAUACCGCAUACGAUCUGAGGAUGAAAGCGGGGGACCGUAAGGCCUCGCGCGAUCGGAGCGGCCGAUGUCAGAUUAGGUAGUUGGUGGGGUAAAGGCUCACCAAGCCAACGAUCUGUAGCUGGUCUGAGAGGACGACCAGCCACACUGGGACUGAGACACGGCCCAGACUCCUACGGGAGGCAGCAGUGGGGAAUUUUGGACAAUGGGCGAAAGCCUGAUCCAGCAAUGCCGCGUGCAAGAAGAAGGCCUUCGGGUUGUAAACUGCUUUUGUACGGAGCGAAAAGGUCUCCUCUAAUACAGGGGGCUCAUGACGGUACCGUAAGAAUAAGCACCGGCUAACUGCGUGCCAGCCGCCGCUGUAA